Molecule: long non-coding RNA, 35948 nt
Filed under: Hordeum vulgare
Lineage: Eukaryota; Viridiplantae; Streptophyta; Magnoliopsida; Poales; Poaceae
Description: long non-coding RNA (HVUL_LNC003319)
Source: RNAcentral
CUGCCAGAGCUAACCAGUGCUGCACAAGCUGAGCAAUAUGGCUUUGAAAAACUCUGCCGUCCUCCUCCUCGGGCUUCUUCUCUCUUGCGUUGCCAUGAGCAGUGCGGCGAGAAUCCUAGAAGAAACUGUCCCGUCCAAGGAGGAGCACCUGCCACCUAAGCCUGAGCUACCCAAGGUAGAACUGCCACCAUUCCCGGAAGUGCACCUGCCACCUAAGCCUGAGCUUCCCAAGGUAGAACUGCCACCAUUCCCGGAAAUGUACCUGCCACCUAAGCCCGAGCUUCCCAAGAUGGAGCUGCCGCCGGUCCCGGAGGUGCACAUGCCACCCAAGCCGGAGCUGCCCAAGGUGGAGCUCCCAACGUUCCCGGAGGUUCACAUACCAUCCAAGCCGGAGAUGCCCAAGGUGGAGCUGCCGCCCAAGCCUGAGAUGCCCACUGUUCCAGGGUUCCACCUCCCGGAGCCGGAGGCCAAGCCAUGAGAAUGGGAGCUGCCUUAUCAAUAUCGUUGCCUUGUUGUACCUGCUCUGCUCCUCGUACAUGUACCUAUCGUUGUGCUGUGUCGAUGAUCUGAUUGUUUAGUUGUGGUUUUCAGCGAGUGUUGUGAGUGAUCUGCUUAUAUAUUGCUAUACAUGAGAAAUGUAUAUUUUGUUCUCACAAUUACCUUUUUCUCGAAAGGUUGCAUGCUUCCUUACAACAAUUUUCACAGCAAGCUUUGAUUGCAUAAAAAGUCUAAACAUGUUUUCCUCAACCUCAAGCCGUCCUAGAUUUAACAUUUCCCAUGGAUAAUUAAACAUAAAAAGCCUAAACAUUUUUCUUCGACCUCAAGCUGUUCUAAAUUUAACACCCGAUAUUUACAACCCGCACAUUGUUGUUGAGUUUGCGUCAAUAGUACUAAUUCUGAUGAGUAAGAGCAUCUCUACCAGACACCCGCCCUCGGGCGUAUAAUGCACCGACCCACAAAAUAACUACCAAAUACGGGUCGGGCGUCCAACCCGUAAAUUUUUUUGAGGGGCGCGGCAAAAUCCCCUCUCCGGCCAGCGAAAACACAGGUUUUCGCCUCGCUUAUACGAGGCCGUGUAUCCCAGGAAAACGGUUGGAGGAAGGGACAUUUCAGCCCACACCCUUUCCCCACCCCCUUCCGUCAUCGCCCCGUCAUUGGUUCCGCCCGUCCGUCGCCGGAGAUUCCGGCCAAAUCCGCGGGCUGAAUCGCGCCGCGGGGGCGCCCGUGCCCUCUUCCGCCGAGCCGCCGCACCGGCUCCCCUGGAUCCGCCAGUCCACCGCGAUCAGAGAGCCACCGCCGGAGAUGGAGUUGAGCCUGUGCGAGAAGUUUUUGCUCGAGGAUUCAUCCGAUUCGGAUGACUCGGAUGUUGAGAUGAUGCUUCUCACAUUUCGCCAACAGAGUUUGAUGAUGGCCCUGGCCGUGAAGGAGCACGAAGACGAGAACCUAAAAAGGCGGCAAGGAUCAACCGUCGACCGUCUUUGCAUUCCUCCAAAUCGCCAUCUCAGAAACGAGAUGCUGAUGCAAGACUACUUCGCGGCCAAUCCAACAUAUCCGUCGCACCUCUUCCGAAGAAGGUACCGUAUGCGCAGAUCCCUCUUUUUAAAAAUUGUUCAAGCUUGCGAGGCCAAUUGUCGAUAUUUUACUCAAAUAAGAAAUGCCGUGUGCUUGAAGGGAUUUAGUGCAUAUCAAAAAUCUCGGCAACUAUGCGGGUAAUUGCAUACGGCGUUCCGACUGACUAUGCAGAUGAGUACCUUCGCAUCGAGGAAGAUAGUACAAUUGAGUCGAUGCGUAGGUUUGCCAAAGUGAUCGUCCGUGUCUUUGGUCCUCAAUAUCUUCGGGCACCGAACGAGGAAGACACAAAAACUUUAAUGGCAUUUAAUGAAAGAAGAGGUUGGUCUGGCAUGCUAGGAAGCAUAGAUUGUAUGCAUUGAACUUGGAAAAGUUGCCCAAAGGCAUGGCAGGAAAUCUAUUGUGGCAAGUCUUGUGAUGCAACAAUUAUGAUAGAGCCCGUAGCAUCACAUAAUUUAUGAAUUUGGCAUUGCUUUUUUGGUAUGCCGAAUACUCUCAAUGAUAUCAAUGUGUUGAAGUGGUCUCAAAAGGAUCCCAUUGAGCACCAUUGGCAAAGGGCCGAGCAAUAACACGUUCCAUUUUCCAUUCAUUUUCAUUUCAUUCAUGUGUGAUCUGUAUACGGGCAAGUUUUAUAUCGGAUUAUUUAGUUUGCUAUGGUGAUUUGAAUAAUUAUAGUAAUUAUUGUAAUAUUGACAUUUUACUUAUAUUGGACAUUAGCAAUUCUGAUUUACAGGGUCUUUGGUUUAUGGAUCGACGCGGUGGCACCCGAGCAGACCCCGCAUUACCAACCCGUGAAAAAACAUCUUCUGUAAAUAUCCUUUUUUACAGGUCCGCUUUACAGGGUCUGACUCUAUCCGCGCCCGUGCCGGUUCGUAAAACCCUUUUUUCGUGAACUGUAAACGAGUUUUGUGGAUUGGCUUUAUACGGGGUCUGCUAUAGAUGCUCUAAGAGGGUGUCUCAGGGUGUCACCAGAAUCACAUUGUUCUUGGGUGUGUGGGCGUUCUCACUUCUGUGUUGUAUGGCUGCUUGGUCUCUUCUUCUGUAAUUUUUUUCCUUUGAUCUGGUCCUUCUUUAACUAUGAUGUCCUUAUCCUUGAAAGGAAGUAGUCAACCGGUGAACACUCCUUCUGUUCUUAAAUAUAAGUUUUUUAAAAUUUUCACUAGAAAAAUACGUAUAAAUGUAUAUAAACAUACAUUAAAGUACAGAUACACUUAUUUUGCUUCAUAUGUAAUCGUAUUGUAGAUUCUUUAAAAAGACUUAUAUUUAAGAUUGAAGGGAGUAUAUGACUAGCAUCCAGCGAAUGGAGGUGGCAAUGAUCUGGGUGUCAAGUGUCAACACAAGCCGCUGAUGAGGAGUGCCGGACCACCUUUUUGUUACCUUGCUCCGGAUUUGGUGUUCAGUUUGGUGGGCAAAUAUGUCUCAAGUUGUUCUUUUGUAGGAUGAAAUCUAGGUUCAAAAGCCAAAUAAUAGCACAACAACAACCAAACCAACGUUACCGAGUGCUCAACUCUAAAGUGGCACACCAACAGAGCAACACAUCGCUAAUUACGCGACUGAGCAAGCAAAUUAAGUGUAGCUAAAGUAAUUAUCUUAAUAAUAGUUUGGAGACAAAUAGGAAGCUACCAGCUUCAUGACCCUGGCAAGUGAACUCCUCUCUCCUCGCCUCCCUUGCUGAUGUAACAAGGUGCUCCUAGGGUUCCUCCNNNNNNNNNNNNNNNNNNNNNNNNNNNNNNNNNNNNNNNNNNNNNNNNNNNNNNNNNNNNNNNNNNNNNNNNNNNNNNNNNNNNNNNNNNNNNNNNNNNNCCGCCUCGCACUCCUCGAUGGUCCUCCCUAACCGCGCCUGGACGGCCGCCGCGACACCGUCCCGCUCGGCGCUGGCCCUCGCAGCCACGGGCCUGGACCGACCGAACUGCCCGCUGGCCUCCCGCGCCGCCCCGCUUCGGCCUCCGCCUGCCCCCUCGGCCUCGUUUCCCCGGCGAGAAGGCCCCUCCGGAGACUCCCCGAGCUCCAUCGCCUCCUUGCCCGUCGGUGGAGAAGGGAAUGGAUAAGCUAGGAUGCUCAUUGAAAUUCUUACAAAUGUAGGGAGCUUUUUGAAACAAUGAAGCGUUUUCUCAGAUUCACUUAAGAAGGGACUGCGGGUUGAUUCUCCAAAAACAGGAGGGUUUUUUUUACAAAAAUGCCACGACGGACCACAGAAGCAGUCGGCGCUUUAUUAUUAUUAGGGAGAGAUUAACCACUACACCAAUAGCACCUUUUCUGUAUGGAUGAUAGCCGUCCAUCUAGUACAAACUGAACGCAUGUGAUGCUUAAAUGGGUUGCAAAUAGUGCGGCCCAGUUUGCACGCACUAGAUUUUUUAAAGAUAUUUAAAAAAUAUAUAUAAUAAAAAUAAUGUUAAAUAUUGUAUUUUUUGUGCAGAUAUAAAUAGUAUAGAUAAUUAUGAUGAUUAGUAAAUAACAACAUUUAAUUAUAAACCCAUGUAUAUUAUAGAAAAAUGGUUAGUAAAUACAGUCAUUCAAGUUACUUACUACAUAAAAAUGUUUAAUGAAUAGAAUAAAAUUAUAGUCUUGCAGCUUAUAUUAAAUUAUUUGUUUGUAUGUAUAUACUUCCUUUAUCCCAGAGUAAGUGUCUUAAAUUUAGUAUAACUUUAUAGUAGACACUUAUUUUGAAACAGAGGAAGUAAUAACUAUAUGUCAUGAAUAUUUAAACGUUAUUUUAUUACUAUGAUUAGAAUUUACUUAAUACAAAUUUCUAAAAGAUAUGAACGGGUGCAAAUGGGCCGCAUUGACAGCAGGCCAUUUCAGCUCGAAGAACGGCUUCACUAUUUACUAAAAAUGAAAAAGAAAGUGUCUUCUACAUUAUGUAGUUGUCCAUGUAAGACAUGAAUGUGUUAGGCGUGUAGUGGCUAGGACAUAGUGUGUGCUAAUCUCCAAUCGCUGGUUUGAAGCGCGAGCACUCUUUUUUGGGUUAAUUUUUAUGAAAAAACAUAGAUACCACCUCACCAUAGGGUUUUUUUUGCGAUAAACAAAUUAUCAAGAUGGUUUUCGCAAAAAAACUGGUCACAAGCCCCUCUCUGCAGUCGAGUCACUGAGAACAGGCCCCAAGCCUAGUUAGCGGUAUGGGUGUAUAUAAUUAAUAUUUGCAUCAUAUUUGCACGCUUGAGCUAAUUUAUUGCACUACAUUGAUGUAUCACCCAAGUUCUAGCAUUAAUGUAACCAUUUGCGCCAAUUUCUAGCUUCAUUAGUGUAAUUGACUCUUGUAAAAAUUGUUGAUACAGUAGAAUGAAUCAUGCAUGGGGACCACAGUCUAAACUUUUCAAAAGAAAAUGAAGAAAAGGAAAUACAUUGAUGUAAAGAUACAUCUCCUUAUAAAUGUACAUUCCGUCUAAAUAGAUGCCAUAGAUAAGCGCUUCACAUCACACAAAUGACUCGCCGAAAAUUCAGACUACACAACCACACGAAAUACACAACACGACCAAUCGGAUACAUGUUGGAGCAUGAGUACAGAGAAGACAAGUAAAGAUAGUCUUCAUGGCUUAGCCUCCGGCUGCUGAAAGUGGAACUCGGGGAUGGUGGGCAUCUCGGGCUUCGUUGGCAACACCUUGGGCAGCUCCGGCUUGGCUGGAAGGUGCACCUCUGGAAACGACGGCAGCUCGGGCUUGGGUGGCAGGUGCACCUGAGGGAACGACGGUAACUCUACCUUGGGCAGCUCUGGCUUAGGCCGCGCUUGGUAUCGGUGUAUUUCAAUACAGAGGUAUUUUAUCUACAGGUGUAAUUUACCGGGCCAGUAGUGAUUUCCGGCCGAAAGCGAAACGACGGCCGGAGGCGUGUAUUGUUUACAGCUGUAUUGCUAAUGAAAACGACAAUCCAAUCAUAACCUUAGGUGGAAGGUGCACCUCCGGGAAUGGCGGCAGCUCGACCUUGGGCAGCGUUGGCAGCUCGGGCAGGUGCUCCUCGCCUUUGGAAGGAGUCGUCUGCUCCUCCAGGAUCCUCGCCCCGCUGCUCAUGGCGACGCACGAGAGUAGCAGCCCGACGAGGAAUGCAGCGGCGUUUCUCGAAGCCAUUUUGAUGGAUGUCUAUGGUUGUCUUGUGAUGUUGUUUCGAUGUGGGAGAGAUAGCAGGUGAUGUGUUCUAUUUAUAGAGCUAAGGAACGCUCGAGUACUGUACGUCUUGUCCAGUGCUUUGCAGCGAGGCUGUUCACCUACUCGACUGCAGUUCCCGGUUUUAUGCGUGCUCCUUAAUUUCGAGUCUCGGUCUGGCCACCUGCUUACAAUUUUGGUGAAGAGAGAUUGAGGAAGUUCCUUCGGUUUUUCGGCUGCUGUUGAGAAUAAUGACCUAGCGAGAACACAAAACUAUUAGGCCAGCUGCUAAGGCAAACUUCAGCGCGCGACCCAUCCGGUCCGGUCAUGUCCGUUCAGGGCAAAACAGAUAAACCCCACGGCCAGCACGCGUCGCCUGAACGCAUUUUAUCCGUUUUUUGUCCGGGCCGAUCCAUUUCCGACGCAAACAUGCGUCCAGUUCGGAUCUUGGCAAACAGCGAGCGGACGUGCUCGAGCCCUCCUCUUGUCCGCGUCGGGGACGCGUGAUAGGCGGCCACCUAUCUCCCACCGUCCGUAUUUACUGCGCACGUCCGAUAGGCCCCGUCUGUCAUCCACUCAGACGGUUGUCAUCCUUCUUUAAGCCGUGGACCGACACAGUGCACGCGCCCACUCCACUCCUGGUGCCUCCUCGGGACCGACACCAAACCCUACCUUUCUCCCCCCUCCCUCGAGUUCUCCGGCNNNNNNNNNNNNNNNNNNNNNNNNNNNNNNNNNNNNNNNNNNNNNNNNNNNNNNNNNNNNNNNNNNNNNNNNNNNNNNNNNNNNNNNNNNNNNNNNNNNNUGCCUGUGGGACCCACCGGCUGGCCAAUGAGGCUCUCGCGUAAGGUUGACGUUGAGCACGCGUUGUACGUCAAUCGUCGCCCCGCGAGUUUCUUCAUGGGCAGGUAGUACGACCGCCUCCACUGUUCCCCACGCCGAGUGCAGUAAUGGAGUGGGAGUGUGACGGUCCGACACUAUGCUAGGUGAUGGAUCAGAGCCGGGGUAGGUCAGCGGCGUGGCCGCUGACGCUCGUACCUGCCGGGCGCCCUGAUCCGGUACCUUUGCUGACGUGUAGCUACCUUUAAUCGUGAGGUCUCUACCUAACCUACGAUCUGAUGUGACUUGUGAUCCUCGGCCAGCUAGCCUGCUUGGCCAGCCAGCUUAAAUGUGGCCGCCUCCUCCCCAGUCCGGCUGGCGGGACCAAGCCAGCUCUGAAGGGUAGGCCGCCUGGAUUCUAGCCGACAGGGGUUGCCUGGUCGGCCAGAAGAGUGGCCGCCUCGUCCUCUAGCCGGCAGGUGAUGCCUAGCCGGCCAGAAAACUUGGGCCUUGGGAAUCUUCAUACAUCCAUGUUUGUUGGGCCGGAAACGAAGAAAUAGGCUUGAUGAGCCUACCCCGGGGUUAUCCCCCAGACACUAGGGUUAUAGGGAAUUGUUAUAUGAGGUUACCGAAGGAUGUUCGGAGUCCCGGAUGAGAUCCUGAAUGUCACGAGGAGCUCCAUAAUGGUCUGGAGGUAAAGAUUGAUAUAUAGGAUGGAUGGGUUUGGACGCCGGAAAUGUUUCGGGCACCACCGGCAAAGUGUCGAGACCACCGGAAGGGUUCCGGAGGCCCACCGGGAGGGGCCACAAGCCCCGAAGGGCUACGUGGGCCAAGUGCGGGAGGGAACCAGCCCCUAGGUGGGCUGGUGUGCCCCCCACACCCAGCCCAUGCGCAACCAAGAGGGAGGGAGGGGAAACCCUANNNNNNNNNNCUGGUGGGCCUAAGGCCCACCUAGGGGUGCGCCACCCCCUCUCCCUGCCUUGGCUGCCGCACCUCCCAUCUGGGGGGGCUGCCGCACCACCUAGGGUGGGAACCCUAGGGGUGGCACACCCCCCUCCCCUCCUCCUAUAUAUAGAGAGGGUUUUGGGGCUGUUUUGCACACAGUUUUCCCUCUCCCUCGGCGCAGCCCUGCUCCCCUCCUUCCUCCUGUCCCACGGUGCUUGGCGAAGCCCUGCCGGGAGACCUCGUCUCUCCAUCGACACCACGCCGUCGUGUUGCUGGAGAUCUUCCCCAACCUCUCCCUCCUCCUUGCUGGAUCAAGGUGCGGGAGACGUCACCGGGCCGUACGUGUGUUGAACGCGGAUGUGUCGUGGUUCGGCACUAGAUCAGAAUCACACCGCGAUAUGAAUCGCCGCGAGUACGACUCCAUCAACCACGUUCUUGCAACGCUUCCGCUUAGCGAUCUUCAAAGGUAUGAAGAUGCACUCACCCCUCUCUCGUUGCUGGUCUCUCCAUAGGAAGAUCUGAAUAUGGCGUAGGAAAAUUUUAAAUUUAUGCUACGUUACCCAACAGUUAUUGGGCCAUAGUUACUACUGUACUAAAUAAUUGUCUCAUGUUACAUGUUGUACAACAACAAUAACAACAACACAUUGUGCUUAGGGACGUGGAAACGUCGAGAUGCUAUUAUAGACCAGCAGCUCACCAUCGUCAUAUGAAGAAACUCCCUUUAGGUCGAUGAAAAGGGAUGCUCUAACUUCUUAGUUUGGACGCCGGCUUGAGUGGCGGAGGAUGUCAUCACUCGCCGGGAUGCAACCUACUAACUAGAGUAACACAUGACAAGAUGAUUGAAAAUCGUCAUGGACUUGUCAUUAACAAGGAAGAUAAAUAAGUGGUAUAAACGUUUUAGACUAGGAUUGUAUUGGAUGCUUACGCAACAUCCAGUCGUGUUGAAUACCAUAAUUAAGUUUGAAGGUGUAUGGACUCUUAGGCUGAAGAGAAUAAUUAGUUGUCGGACCGAUAGUGAAUCAUGAAAUUGUCCUUUGAAUGAUCGUAGCACAUGUGUGGUCGUUUUGAAUGGUUUAUAUAAUGCCCACAUUGUGUGGAACUGUUUAGAGCUCAAGGUGUACUAUUACAAAAUUGAAUUUGAUGUUUUAACAAGUUAUACUCAUAUCUUGUGGACAUUUACAAAUUUUCUAAGUAUUUUUGAAACAUUAAAUUAUUACAAAAUUUGGGUGGUUGUCGAUGAUAUGCUUCCUGUUUUACCUCCAUGUGAGUUUCUCAACCAUAUUUGUCAAGUAAUUUGCAUUUAUAUUUAAAAAUAGUUANNNNNNNNNNNNNNNNNNNNNNNNNNNNNNNNNNNNNNNNNNNNNNNNNNNNNNNNNNNNNNNNNNNNNNNNNNNNNNNNNNNNNNNNNNNNNNNNNNNNUCAAUGUGAUGUAGGCAUGCAUUCCGUGUGUCGUCAUACGUGCUUAGGGAAAAGAAUUUGCAUGGCAUCUAUUCUCCAUCCCUCCCGUGGCAGCGGGGUCCAAGAGGAUACUACAAGAUAUUAAGGUUUUCCUUUUAAUAAAGAACCGGAACAACGCAUUAGCANNNNNNNNNNNNNNNNNNNNNNNNNNNNNNNNNNNNNNNNNNNNNNNNNNNNNNNNNNNNNNNNNNNNNNNNNNNNNNNNNNNNNNNNNNNNNNNNNNNNNNNNNNNNNNNNNNNNNNNNNNNNNNNNNNNNNNNNNNNNNNNNNNNNNNNNNNNNNNNNNNNNNNNNNNNNNNNNNNNNNNNNNNCGUAACUACAACUUGCAAGAUCGGAUCUAAAACACACAUAUAUUUGUGACAACAUAAUAAUUUCAGAUCUGAAAUCAUGGCACUCGGGCCUUAGUGACAAGCAUUAAGCAUGGCAAAGUAGUAGCAACAUCAAUCUCAGNNNNNNNNNNCCCCUCUCCAGAGCCCAAAACGGACUCCAGAUCUGGCCUCCACAUGAAGAACAAGAUGUGGUGGCGCCUCCGUAUCGCAAACGUUAUGAAAUCUUCUCUUCUGAUUUUUUUAGGGAGAAAGUGAAUUUAUAGAGCUGAGUUUGGGGGCAGCAGAGCCACGUGGGCCCCACAAGCCUGGUUGCCGCGGCCAGGGGGGCGCGGCAACGUGGCUUNNNNNNNNNNNNNNNNNNNNNNNNNNNNNNNNNNNNNNNNNNNNNNNNNNNNNNNNNNNNNNNNNNNNNNNNNNNNNNNNNNNNNNNNNNNNNNNNNNNNUCAAAUCAGCCCUAAAACCUCUGUAUAUAUAGGGGGAAGAGGGGGAGCCUUGCCUUGGGGUCCAAGGACCCCUAAGGGCUUCGGCCGAGCCAAGGGGGCAGCCCUCCCCUUCCAAACCGAGUCCAACUAGGUUUGGAAGGAGGAGUCCUUCCCCCUUUUCCCACCUCCUCUUUUUUUCUCUUUGAUUUUCUUUCUAUGGCGCAUAGGGCUCUUUUGGGCUGUCACACCAGCCCACUAAGGGCUGGUGUGCCACCCCCAAUGCCUAUGGGCUUCCCCGGGGNNNNNNNNNNUUCUUUUCUCUUUGAUUUUCUUCCUAUGGCGCAUAGGGAUCUUUUGGGCUGUCCCACCAGCCCACUAAGGGCUGGUGCGACACCCCCAAUGCCUAUGGGCUUCCCCGGGGUGGGUUGCCCCCCCGGUGAACUCCCGGAACCCAUUCGUCAUUCCCGGUACAUUCCCGGUAACUCCGAAAACCUUCCGGUAAUCAAAUGAGGUCAUCCUAUAUAUCAAUCUUCGUUUCCGGACCAUUCCGGAAACCCUCGUGACGUCCGUGAUCUCAUCCGGGACUCCGAACAACAUUCGGUAACCAACCAUAUAACUCAAAUACGCAUAAAACAACGUCGAACCUUAAGUGUGCAGACCCUGCGGGUUCGAGAACUAUGUAGACAUGACCUGAGAGACUCCUCGGUCAAUAUCCAAUAGCGGGACCUAUGCCCAUAUUGGAUCCUACAUAUUCUACAAAGAUCUUAUCGUUUGAACCUCAGUGCCAAGGAUUCAUAUAAUCCCGUAUGUCAUUCCCUUUGUCCUUCGGUAUGUUACUUGCCCGAGAUUCGNNNNNNNNNNGUCAAUAUCCAAUAGCGGGACCUGGAUGCCCAUAUUGGAUCCUACAUAUUCUACGAAGAUCUUAUCGUUUGAACCUCAGUGCCAAGGAUUCAUAUAAUCUCGUAUGUCAUUCCCUUUGUCCUUCGGUAUGUUACUUGCCCGAGAUUCGAUCGUCAGUAUCCGUAUACCUAUUUCAAUCUCGUCUACCGGUAAGUCUCUUUACUCGUUCCGUAAUACAAGAUCCCGCAACUUACACUAAGUCACAUUGCUUGCAAGGCUUGUGUGUGAUGUUGUAUUACCGAGUGGGCCCCGAGAUACCUCUCCAUCACACGGAGUGACAAAUCCCUGUCUUGAUCCAUACUAACUCAACGAACACCUUCGGAGAUACCUGUAGAGCAUCUUUAUAGUCACCCAGUUACGUUGCGACGUUUGAUACACACAAAGUAUUCCUCCGGUGUUAGUGAGUUAUAUGAUCUCAUGGUCAUAGGAACAAAUACUUGACACGCAGAAAACAGUAGCAACAAAAUGACACGAUCAACAUGCUACGUCUAUUAGUUUGGGUCUAGUCCAUCACGUGAUUCUCCUAAUGACGUGAUCCAGUUAUCAAGCAACAACACCUUGUUCAUAAUCAGAAGACACUGACUAUCUUUGAUCAACUGGCUAGCGAACUAGAGGCUUGCUAGGGACAGUGUUUUGUCUAUGUAUCCACACAUGUAAAUGAGUUUUCAUUCAAUACAAUUAUAGCAUGGAUAAAUGGAUAAUAAACGAUUAUCUUGAUACAGGAAUUAUAAUAAUAACUAUAUUUAUUAUUGCCUCUAGGGCAUAACUCCAACAACUAUUACUAUCACGACGUUAAAAACAAAAGUGCAACUAUUGAAACAAGCUUUACUCUUUUGAAUAGCCUGGAGGAUCAUGCAAUACUCGCCCCUUUGAUCUUGAAUUUGAAGAUCAUUUAUGACUCUCAGACAGUCCGAUGCAAUCCGAAUGUUUGGGAUCAUCAAAUCUUCCGCCAAAGCUAUUGCCUCCCUGCAUGCAUGUGCCUCAACCACCGCCGGAUCAAUCACUCCCAUGAGCACUAUCGCAGAAGCUCCCAUGAAAUGUCCCUGUGCAUCACGGCAUAUUACUCCCACCGCCCCGAUAUUGGAGGACUUGGCGACGGCUCCGUCGACAUUCAGCUUCGCCUCACCCGCGGAUGGGGGGAUCCACCUGGGGACAGGCAAGGCAUCAGUCCUCCUUGUCGUACUUUUCUGCGUCGAUGGUCGACCACGCAGCUCAUUAAGGUACCUCUCGAUGAACAGGUGGGUCGAUAGGGGGCUCUGAAAUUCCUUCUCAUGUAUGGCCUUUCGUCGAGCCCACCAAAUCGCCCAUAGUGUGGUCAAGAUAGCGAUGAACCUCUCAGAGGUUAGUGUGUUGCACAUCCCAUGUAACCAUAGCUUCGGGUCUUGCAUUUCAUCCCCAUAGGCUGGAAGUAAGGAAUCAUCGUCAUCAGCCCGCAAAGACCAGACACUGCGUGCCAUAUUGCAGUCCAGUAGCGCAUGGCGCCAGCUAUCCUCCGCCCCUUGACAGAUUGGGCAUGAUGUAUCCACUGUCAUCUGUCGUCUCCCCUCUCCUGUCCCGUUGGUAGUGAGGCUCGAGCGAGCCACCAAGCGAACAACCAAAGUUUUGCCGGCACCUUUGUCCCCCAUAGUUUCUUCCAGUUUGCUUCUUGUCGGUCGGUGUCUGAAGCUUCUGCAUCUCCAUUGAGCCAGAGUUCCCGCCGCAGUUUUGUUGCCACUACCAUUCUGUAGCAUGACCGCACCGUAAACAAACCUGACUUUUCAUAAUGCCAUGCAUAGAAAUCUGUUUGUGCAAUGUAGCUAAGAGGGAUCUUGCGCACGAUAUCAGCAUCCAUGGGGAGCAUGUGAGCAGCCAGAGCAUUGUCAUCCCAACAUCUGUUCGUAUGUGAUAUUAGGUCCGAGACCUUCUCCGGGGGAUUUGCCGAGGUCGCAGCUAAGGGGCGAAGGCAGAAAUCACGGGGCAACCAAUUGUCAUUCCAUAUGUUAGUAUCAUUGCCAUUUCCAAUCCGUUUUACUAACCCUGUCUUGAGAAUAUAUCUACCCUCGCAGAGAGCCCGCCAUACCUGCGAUGGCCGUGAUCCGAGCUGGGAGGACAGAAUGUCUGUGGAUGGAAAGUAGACCGCCUUCAGAAUCCUUGCACUCAUUGUGUUGGGCUCCAUCAUCACCCUCCAAACCUGUUUGGUGAGCAAAGCCAGGUUGAAAAUUUCCAUGUCGCGGAAUCCCAAACCCCCUUUGCACUUUGGCAUGCACAUCGUUUCCCACGAUACCCACGCCGUUUUCCUCUCCCCUGACUUGCACCCCCACCAAAACUUCCGAAUCAUGGCCGUGAUAUGCUGGCAUAACCCCCGUGGUAACUUGAAGAUCGCCAAAGAAUAGGUUGGUAUCGCCUGCACCACUGAUUUUAUAAGAACCUCCUUGCCGCUGCCUGCCAAGCACUUCUCCAUCCACCCUUGGAUAUUCUUCCAUACACGGUCCUUCAGAUACGAGAAUACUCCAUUUUUUGCUUGCCCCACCUCUGAUGGUAAGCCCAAAUAUCUCUCACAGAGUGUCUCCCUGUGUAUUUGAAGAAUGCCUUUGAACACUUCCCUCUGAACUUCUAGGCAUACCUUCCCAAAAUAGAUAGAUGAUUUAUCAUUGUUUAUUCGCUGGCCCGAUGCAUUGCAGUAUGCUGUUAGGAUAUCCUUCAAUUUGUAGGCGUUCUCCGAAGUAGUCUUACUGAAAAGCAAACAAUCAUCCGCAAACAGUAGAUGGUUUACCUUUGGCGCUAGUGCAGCAAUUUGAAUACCUUCAAACACCCCUUCCGUACUGGCUUGAUGCAGCAUACAGGAGAGCCCCUCUACCGCAAUUAGAAACAGGUAUGGGGAGAUCGGAUCCCCUUGCCUAAUACCCCUUGAUGGUUUAAAACCUUCUGUCUGCAUUCCAUUAAAAAGUACGGAGAAAGACACCGAGGUUACCCCUCUCAUGAUCUGGCGCACAAAAACUUCACAGAAACCCAACUUCUUCAUAAUGGCCUCCAGAUAGAUCCAUUCGACUCGGUCGUAAGCUUUCAUCAUGUCCAGCUUUACUGCACAAUGCCCAUUCUUCUUGCUUCUAUUAUUCUUCAUAAAGUGAAGGCAUUCAUAAGCUGUAAUAACAUUAUCAGUGAUCAAGCGGCCUGGCACAAACGCCGAUUGUUCUUCAGAGAUGAUUUUCGGGAGAAUCUGCUUCAGCCGGUUAGCAAGUACUUUGGAUGCAAUUUUAAAGAGCACAUUGCACAAGCUAAUCGGCCGAAACUGAGAUAGCAAUGUGGGGUUUAAUACCUUAGGGAUGAUUACAAUGAACGUACUGUUAAGCUCCUCGAGGGAGUCUUCUCCUUUCAACACUCGAAUAACAAUAUUGGUCACUUCCACACCACAUAAAUGCCAGUAUUUUUGAAAUAAAUGCGUCGGAAAGCCAUCCGGUCCUGGGGCCUUUGUGGGGUACAUUUGAAACAACGCCUUUUUUACCUCUUCCUCCGUUACAACCUGUACAAGCAUCUCGUUCAUAGGUGUGGAGACCUUACAAGGUACAUGUGAUAACACUUCCUCCAUUCCAAUAACCCCCUCCGAAGCAUAUAAAUUCUCAUAGUACUGGACUGUCAUGUGCUGCAAUUCCCCUGGAUCAUCACAUGUGGAUCCGUCAGGGCGCAUCAAGCUCACCAUUGUGUUCUUUUUUCUUCUGCUCGAGGCUUUCUUAUGAAAGAACUUUGUAUUUUUAUCCCCUUCCAUAAGCCACUGGGUACGUGCACGCUGGCACCACAUGAUCUCCUCCCGGAAUCUCAGCUCAAUAAUUCUGUCCUCUAUUUUAACUUCCUCACGGGUUGCUGAAACUCGAUGAGGAUCCUCCCGCAACACCUUAAGNNNNNNNNNNNNNNNNNNNNNNNNNNNNNNNNNNNNNNNNNNNNNNNNNNNNNNNNNNNNNNNNNNNNNNNNNNNNNNNNNNNNNNNNNNNNNNNNNNNNGUCGCGGACGAGGAGGCCGCUCUUCUCCAAGAUGUCGAGGUGGGCACAGAUAAGUGCCACCUCAGGAUGCGGCCUGGGAGUCUUCGCAUCCCAGUUUCGCCGCGUCGGGGGAGCGAUGGCGAACGGGGGCAUGUUGAGGGCAUCCUGGGCCGGGUCGGCGUUCUUCACGUAGAAGAAACCGUUCUGCCAUUGCUUGAUGGAGUCUUGCAGAGGCAUCUGGGGGAAGCUAGACUUCAGGCGAUGAUGCACCAACGCGGCCCCGAACGGCGUCAUGGGGCGCGGCGCCCUGAGCUUCUCCACCUCGGACUUCUCCAUGGCGAUGGAUUGCUGCUUGAAGAAGAAUAGGCUGCGCCACAGAUCGACACGAGGCUCGAUCCCCAUGAAGCCCUCGCACAGGACCACGAAGGCGGCCAGCUACAGUAUGGCGUUCGGCGCCAGAUGAUGCGGCUGCAGGCCGAAGAAUUGAAGCCAUUCGGCGAAGAAGGAGCUAGCCGGGAGCCCGAAGCCCCGGUAGAAGUGCUCAACGAAGACCACGAACUCUCCCACGGCGGGAGCGAGAGCGGUCUCGGAGCUGGGGAGGCGCACCGACACUUGGGAGGCCGAGGGCAGCAGUCAAUGGUGACGAAGCGCCUCGAUGUGCCCCUCGUCGACGUCGCUGCCCAACCAGGCCCCCUGCCAGGACGCCUUCUGUGCCGACGACUUCUUCGAUGAAGAACCGCCGGGCAUGGCUGCGGGUGGCGAGAGUUCGAAGUGGUCGGCGAUGUCGCGACGACGAAGAUAAAGAAGACGAAGGGCGCGAGCUCUUCUUCUCAGGACGCAGGAAGGGAGAGAGCGCAGAUACAGGGCGAGAAGAGGGGGCGAAUGGUUUCCUCAGAACCCUCGCGUCCCAUUUAAACCCCCACGAAGCGUCGAGCCCCAUUAAUCCCGUGUAUUACGGGCGGUAACGUUCCCCUAAGCCCAACCGCCGCGGAGUAAAUCCGCAGAGGAUGUCCCGCGCGGAGGCCGAGGGGGCGUCGUGGCGGGACCGAGGGCCCAUGACCGGUCCCGUCAGCAGUAAUCGCCAUCAUUACGCCUGGCGGGGCCUGGCACGUGGCGUUCUACGAGCAAGUUACGACUAGACCGAGGCGUCGCUUUGAAGUCACCUGGUUUCGAAGCCGGCAUCCUUCACCGCGAAGGGCGGCCAAAAUAUCAAGACAAAUCAACAAGCCGGUGAGGCCGCCCGCCCGCAGGCGGUAGACCUCGCCAGCUUCGGGGACUACUGUCGGGGGGAUAACCCCGGGGUAGGCUCAUCAAGCCUAUUCCUUCGUUUCCGGCCCAACGGACAUGGAUGUAUGAAGAUUCCCAAGGCCCAAGUUUUUUGGCCAGCUAGGCAUCACCUGCCGGCUAGAGGACGAGGCGGCUACUCUUCUGGCCGACCAGGCAACUCCCGCCGGCUAGAAUCCAGGCGGCCUCCCCUUCAGAGCUGACCUGGUCCCGCCAGCCGGACUGGGGAGGAGGCGGCCACAUUUAAGCCGGCUGGCCAAGCAGGCUAGCUGGCCGAGGAUCACAAGUCACAUCAGAUCGUAGGUCAGGUAGAGACCUCACGAUGCUACGCGUCAGCAAAGGUACUGGAUCAGGGCGUCCGAGAGGUACGAGCGUCAGCGGCCACGCCGCUGACCUACCCCGGCUCUGAUCNNNNNNNNNNCAUAGUGUCGGACCGUCAAACUCCCACUCCAUUACUGCACUCGGCAUGGGGAACAGUGGAGGCGGUCGUACUACCUGCCCAUGAAGAAUCUCGCGGGGCGACGCUUGACGUACAACGCGUGCUCAGCGUCAACCUUACGUGAGAGCCUCAUUGGCCAACCGGCGGGUCCCACAGGCAAUCGAGACCAUGCAGCCGACGACCCCCCCAUCGACAAGACAAGACCCUUGUGGGCCCCUGGCCAGCCGGCGAAGCUGCCAGUCAGGUCCCAUACUUGUAUCCUUUAUCCAUAUUGUAGGCCGACGGGUUCGUCUAUAAAACCCCCGGUUGCCCCUCAUGCAAGGGGACCGAUCCUUCACCAGUCAUUCAACACAACACAUUCACCAACCACAGAGAGAGAGGUAGAGACGAGCCGGCUGCUCCCCUCUUCCUCCUCCCAACACAGCUCCAGGAGCGACAUUGUACUCUGUUCCUAUGCAUCAAACACUCCGGCAGGAUUAGGGGUAUUAUCUCUACGGAGAGCCCUGAACCUGGGUACAUCGUGCGUCCCAUGCGUGUACCAACCUCAUUCCCAGCGCCCACCUUUGUCCCUUCGGUUCUCACUGACUUUAGCCUACCUAUGGCAUAUGUUAUGAGUAUUCACCCACAUUUGGCGCCCACCAUGGGGCCGAUCGCGACAUCGGCUGGCUUUACUCGCUGGGCGGGGCCCCGCACCUACACCACCGGAUGCAUCGCGUCCGGAUCAGUUUGCAUGCCCGUGGAGCCCGCUUUUGACGAGGCGACACCCAUGAUGAUCGACGUCCGCGUCCGCCAUGCGGAUUCGGACGAAGAUUCCGACGACGAGGCGCUUCCUAGCAUCGUCGUCGCCACUAUGGAGAACCUCAGCGUUCUCUUCAGCGACCUUCGUCUCAACGAUGGCCCGUGCUACUUCGGCGAGGACUUCGACGUUGAGGCGCUCUGCGCCAGCUUCAGCAGGCUCUCUAUCGCUGAGAUGCCUGCCCACGAUGUUUAUCCCAGUAACGUCCUCGUCUUCGACGGCCCUCCACCGUCGGUGGGGUUCUUCACCCCAUACCACGUUGCUGUCGUCUCCAACACCGUGGAGGUGAUGGUUAUCAGCGCUGGCACCAGCACGGCUCCCGGCAAGGCCUCCGCAGGCGCUGGCGAGCCCACUGCGGCCACCGUUGAUACUCUUUGGGACGCCAUCGCCGGCCUGAAGACACCGGUCACCACUUCCGCCGACCCUGCUGACGCUCGGGCCUCGCUGGAGGAGGCUCGCAAGCGUAUCUUGGAGGAGGGCAUUGCCGUAGCUUCGGCGAAACGUCGGUUGGAGGCUACGCAGCGCGAGUAUAACUCCGCAUACGGUCUCACUCUGAUUUCCGAGGCCCCUAGCCGACUUGGAUCGGUCCGCAGCCGUGACCGGUUCAUCGCCGAGGUUCUAGGCGGCGAUCUGCCCACCUACGAGACUCCUGCGGCCAACAUGCGAGCGGCGCAGGAAGCCAUGGAGGAGAUGGCAAGCCUGGAAGGCGAGGAGCGCGCNNNNNNNNNNNNNNNNNNNNNNNNNNNNNNNNNNNNNNNNNNNNNNNNNNNNNNNNNNNNNNNNNNNNNNNNNNNNNNNNNNNNNNNNNNNNNNNNNNNNGUUCAUGCUUGCACUCCAUGUUAGUCAAACUCAUUGCAUCUUGAUGUCUGUUGUCGCUCUCUAGUUGGUCGCCUCCCAGUCUUUUGCUAGCCUUCACUUGUAUUAAGCGGAAUACUGCUUGUGCAUCCACUUCCAUAAACCCAAAAGUUUUUCCAUGAGAGUCCACCAUACCUACCUAUUUGCGGUAUCUACCUGCCGUUCCAAGUAAAUUUGCAUGUGCCAUUCUCUAAACCUUCAAGAAAUAAUCUGUUUUGCAUGCUCGAACCGCUCAUGUGGUGACAGGGAGCUAUUAGUAUCUUCCAUGCUAGGAGUGUUAUCCUCGACAUGUGUUUAUUCACUGUUAUUCACGAGAAAGGGGGCGGUAAUUGGAAUGCCCAGUUCCACGCUUAAAUCGAAAACAUAACUAUCAAACAAGACCCCCCCCCCCCCNNNNNNNNNNCGCAUGCGCCAUUCUCUAAACCUUCAAGAAUUAAUCUGUUUUGCAUGCCCGAACAGCUCAUGUGGUGACAGGGGGCUAUUGGUAUCUUCCAUGUUAGGCGUGUUAUCCUCGACAUGUGUUUAUUGACUGUCAUUCACGAGAAAGGGGCCGGUAAUUGGAAUGCCCAGUUCCACGCUUAAAUCGAAAACAUAACUGUAAAACAAGACUCCCCCCGGAUUGAUGUUAGUAUGGACGGUACCCGAGGAUUCGGCUAGCCGUGGAGUGUGAUUGAUUGGUGGUGGGGGAGUUAAAACUUUACUUUUCUGUUUGGGAACCCCCUAUAGCAUGAGUAGCAUGGAAGAUAUUGAGAACUCUUGGUCAUUGCAUUGACAAUGAAAGCAUGCCACCCAAAAUUAUUAUCUCUGUUUUCAAAGCUUGAGCUCUGGCACCUCUGCAAAUCAAUGCUUCCCUCUGCGAAGGGCCUGUCUAUUUAUUUUCCUGUUGAGUCAUCCUCUUCUUAUAUAAGCACCAAUUAGAGAGCACAUCUAUCAUUUUUAUGCUUUGCUUUUGAUUGAUAUUGAGUAUGAAUAUGACUGGAUCUUCGUUGCUAUGAAUUACAAUGUUUAGUCAGCCCUUGAUCUUUGGAAGUGCUUUGCAUUUAUGUUUUGCGGUCUCAGAAAGAGCUAGCGAGAUACCACCUAUUUGUAUUGCUUCAUGCUUGUUUCGAUUGAAUUGUUGGUAUCUGAAACUCAUUAUUAUUUGCUCGCUAGCUGAUUAUGCCAUUGAUAUUAGUUUACCGUGAGACCUAUUUGUCACUUGCUUAUGUGGUUAACUUGUGAUCUUGCUAAAAUUCUGGUUACGAGUUAGACAUAGUUGCAACAACAAGAUCAAACAGAGUUUGUCAAAGUUUUUCUUUCUCUCUCAGUUUGUCAACUGAGUUGCUUGAGGACAAGCAAGGUUUUAAGCUUGGGGGAGUUGAUACGUCUCCAUCGACUCUACUUUUCCAAACUCUUCAGCCCUUGUUUUGGACUAUAAUUUGCAUGAUUUGAAUGGAACUAACCUGGACUGACACUGUUUUCAGCAAAAUUGCCUUGGUGUUAUUUUUGUGCAGAAAUCAAAGUUCUCCAAACGACCUGAAAAUUUAUGGGGAGCAGUUUUGGAAAAUAUAAAAAAUAUAUGCGCCAAGUUCUACCUCACGGGGUUGGCCAGUGGGCCACAAGCCCUGGCUCCGCCACCACCCCCUGGUGGCGGUGGGUAGGCUUGUGGGGCCAAAACGGCUCUGCCGCCCCCAAUCUGAGGUCUAUAAGAUCCCUUUCAUCCCAGAAAAAAUAAAAAGAGAAGUUUUCGUCGCGUUCACGAUACGGAGGCGCCGCCACCACCUGUUCUUCAUCUGGGGGCAGAUCUGGAGUCCGUCUUGGGCUCCGGAGAGGGGAAAUCGUCGCCAUCGUCAUCAUCAACCUUCUUCCCUCUCCAAUUCCAUGAAGGUCUUCGUCGUUCGUGAGUAAUCUAUUCGUAGGCUCGCUGAGCGGUGAUGAGUAGGAUGAGAUCUAUCAUGUAAUCGAGUUAGUUUUGAUGGGGAUUGAUCCCUAGUAUCCACUAUGUUCUGAGAUUGAUGUUGCUACUACUUUGCCAUGCUUAAUGCUUGUCACUAGGUCCCGAGUGCCAUGAUUACAGAUGUGAUAUUAUUAUGUUGUCACCAAUAUAUGUGUGUUUUAGAUCCGAUCUUGCAAGUUGUAGCUACCUACUAUGUGUUAUGACCCGGCAACCCCGGAGUGACAAUAACCGGAACCACUCCCAGUGAUGACCAUAGUUUGAGGAGUUCAUGUGUUCACCAAGUGCUAAUGCGUUGUUCCGGUUCUUUAUUAAAAGGAGAACCUUAAUAUCCCGUAGUAUCCUCUUGGACCCCGCAGCCACGGGAGGGAUGGACAAUAGAUGUCAUGCAAGUUCUUUUCCCUAAGCAUGUAUGACGACACACGGAAUGCAUGCCUACAUCACAUUGACGAAUGAGAGCUAGCCACAUAUUUCUCCGUGUUAUAACUGUCGCAUGAUGAAUGUCAUCCAAACGAAUCACCGACCCAUUGCCUACGAGUUUGUNNNNNNNNNNAGAAUGGGAGCUAGCCAGAUAUCUCUCCGUGUUAUAACUGUUGCACGAUGAAUGUCAUCCAAACGAAUCACCGACCCAUUGCCUACGAGUUUGUCCACUGCUAUUACUUGUUUUGCUCUGUUGCUGUUACUACUGUUGUUGUUGCUGUACUUGUUUUGCUCUGCUGCUGUUACUACUGUUGCUGCUGCUAUUACUNNNNNNNNNNNNNNNNNNNNNNNNNNNNNNNNNCUGCUGUUACUACUAUUGUUGCUGCUGUUACUUGUUUUGCUCUGCUGCUGUUACUACUGUUGCUGCUGCUAUUACUUGCUCUGCUCUGCUGCUACUUGCUACUGCUGUUACUUGCUACUGUUGCUACUUGCUACUGCUGUCAUUACUGUUGGUCCUUGCCACUGCUGUUACUCAUUACACUGCUGCUACCUGCUACAAUACUUUUUCUCUCGACGUUGACGGGAAAGAAUAUUUCCCGUCCACGGGCAACUUCUGGCGCCAUNNNNNNNNNNCUACUGUUGUUCCUUGCCAUUGUUGUUACUCGUUACACUGCUGCUACCUGCUACAAUACGUUUUCUCUCAAUGUUGACGGGAAAGAAUAUUUCCCGUCCACGGGCAACUUCUGGCGCCAUNNNNNNNNNNNNNNNNNNNNNNNNNNNNNNNNNNNNNNNNNNNNNNNNNNNNNNNNNNNNNNNNNNNNNNNNNNNNNNNNNNNNNNNNNNNNNNNNNNNNUAAAGUAAAUGCACGAAAAAUACCAAAUGGAGUCAGAAAUUGUUGAAAAUUUGUGAUGUGCAUUUUAAUGGUGCAUUUGAACACACAAAAAGUAUGGAGUUUAAAUAUGUUUAAAAAAUGAAAUCCCUUUGUAACACAUGAGUUCUCGUUCGUAACCCUGAUACUUCGAGAGAGAUUGUCCGUUUUAUACACGAAAUGCAUUCAGUUUUUGUCGUAACCCUCUCAACUUUUUAGCACAUGCUAUGUGGGUGAAAUGAUGAUACCAUUCCAACUUUCAAUAUUUUCAGAGUUUAUUUGUAGUGUUUUUCAAUUUCAGGGUCAACUUGCUCAAAAAAAUAAAGUAAAUGCACGAAAAAUACCAAAUGAAGUCAGAAAUUGUUGAAAAUUUGUGAUGUUCCUUUCGAUGAUGCAUUUUUAACACACAAAAAGUAUGGAGUUCAAAUAAGUUCAAAAAAAUGAAAUCACUUUGUAACACAUGAGUUCUCGUUCGAAACCCUGAUAAUUCGAGAGAGAUUGUUCGUUUUGUACAUGAAGUGCAUCCAAAUAGAAGAGAAAAAAAGAAAGUAAAGUUAUUCACAAAUUUUAAAGAAUUCAAAUAUUUGUGUGUUAACAUUCUCUGUUUUCGUGUGUUCCAAAGUUGAGAGGGUUACGAUAAAAACUCGAUGCACUUCUUGUACAAAAACUGGAUUUUAAAGAAUUCAAAUUUUAAUAUUUAGUUUUUUCUCUUUUUAUACACGAAAGGCCUGGGGUGGCGGCAUUCUAAAGUUGAGAGGGUUACGACAAAAACUGGAUGCACUUCAAAUUUUAAAAUUAACCCUCUUUUAUGUUAAAUAUUAAAUAUAAAAUAGUUGUAAGUAGAAUUUAUAGUAAGUUGAGAGGGUUAUGCUAAAUUUUAAUAUAUAUAUAUAUAUAUAUAUAGUUGUUACAAAGAAUCUUUAGCUGUAAGUAGAAUUUAUAGUAAAUUUGAAUUCAACUUACUAUAAAUUUAUUGUAAAUUUGAAUUCAACUUACUAUAAAUUCUACUUACACCUAUGCUAAAUUUUCAUAACCCUCUUCUAUGUUAAAUAUUAAAAUUUAAAGUCAUCCUGUAAAUCCCUUUGUAAAAGAAUCAAGUAAAACAUUAACUAAAAAGAAACAAAAAAAUCAACUAAAAAGAAUUUUCAUAAAGUUUUUGGGUUAAAAUCUUUCAUAGAAAACAAAAAUAGAAGAUAAAAAAUGAAAGUAAAGUUAUUCACAAAUUUUAAAGAAUUCAAAUUUGAAAACUAAAUAUUUAGCUGUAACUAGAAAAAAAAUAAAGCAAAGAACAAAACAAAAAUAAUGGAAAAAAAUUGAAACUAUAUGAGAAUUUAUAGAGAAAAUUCAACCUAAAUUCAAAGUGACAUCACUUUCCAAAGUGACCUCACUUUGAAUUUAGGUUGAAUUUUGUCCAUAAUAUCAAAUAUAUUUUCAAUUUUUAAAUUUACAGUGCGUUUAGGCCCGUAAACGUGCUUUAGAGAGGAGCUCGACGCGGUUGGGACAGUGGGGCUUAUAAACCAGUCGCAGAUUCUCUGGACAGGCGAGGUGGGACUAAACUUUGGAAUAACGCCAGCCCAGGCCUUUAGUCCCGGUUCGUGGCACGAACCGUGACUAAAGACCCCCUUUAGUCCUGGGUCGAGCACUAGGGGAAGAAGGAGUAGUGACCAUCAUCGACGGUCAAAAAAUCAAGUGAGGGAGUGUCCACCAUAUAUGAGAGAAGAAGAAUGUCGACUAUUGUUGUGGGGGUCGCUUUUCCUUCUUCUCCUUGUGCUAGAUAUUUGUUAUGCACUAGGGAAAGUAGGAGUAGCGACCAUCAUGGACGGUCGAAAAAUCAGGUGAGGGAGUGUCCACCAUAUAUGAGAGAAGAAGAAUGCCAACUUUUGUUGUGGGGGUCGCUCUUCCUUCUUCUCCUUAUGCUAGAUAUUUGUUAUGAACUAGGGGAAGUAGGGGUAGCGACCAUCAUCGACGGUCGAAAAAUCAUGUGAGGGAGUGUCCACCAUAUAUGAGAGAAGAAGAAUGUCGACUGUUGUUGUGGGGGUCGCUUCUCCUUCUUCUCCUUGUGCUAGAUGAGUUCAAAUAAGUUCAAAAAAAUGAAAUCCCUUUGUAACAGAUGAGUUCUCGUUCGAAACCCUCAUACUUCGAUAGAGAUUGUCCGUUUUGUACAUGAACAGCAUCAAGUUUUGUCGUAACCCUCUCAACUUUUUAGCACAUGCUACGUGGGUGAAAUGAUGAUACAAUGCAAACUUUCAACAUUUUCACAAUUCAUUUGUAGUGCUUUUCAAUUUCAGGGUUAACUAGCUCAAAAAAAUAAAGUAAAUGCACGAAAAAUACCAAAUUAAGUCGGAAAUUGUUGAAAAUUUGUGAUGUGCCUUUGAAUGGUGAAUUUCGAACACAAAAAAGUAUGAGUUCGAAUAAGUUCAAAAAAAUGAAAACCCUUUGUAACGGAUGAGUUUUCGUUCGAAACCCUGAUACUUCGAGAGAGAUUGUCCGAUUUGUACAUGAAGGGCAUCCAGUUUUUGUCGUAACCCUCUCAACUUUUUAGCACAUGCUAUGUGGGUGAAAUGAUGAUACCAUGCCAACUUUCAACAUUUUCAGAGUUCAUUUCUAGUGCUUUUCAGUUUCAGGGUCAACUAGCUCAAAAAAAAUAAAGUAAAUGCACGAAAAAUNNNNNNNNNNAAGAACUCAGAAAUUAUUGAAAAUUUGUGAUGUGCCUUUGAAUGGUGUAUUUGGAACACACAAAAAGUAUGGAGUUCAAAUAAGUUCAAAAAAUGAAAUGUCUUUGUAUGAGAUGAGUUCUCGUUCGAAACCCUCAUACUUCGAGAGAGAUUGUUCGUUUUGUACACGAAGUGCAUCCAGUUUUUGUCGUAAUCCUCUCAACUUUUUAGCACAUGCUAUGUGGGUGAAAUUAUGAUACCAUGCCAACUUUUAACAUUUUCAUAGUUCAUUUGUAGUGCUUUUCAAUUUCAGGGUCAAAUAGCUCAAAAAAAUAAAGUAAAUGCACGAAAAAUACCAAAUGAGGUCAGAAAUUGUUGAAAAAUUGUGAUGUUCCUUUGAAUGGUGCAUUUUGAACACACAAAAAGUAUGGAGUUCAAAUAAGUUCAAAAAAAUGAAAUCCCUUUGUAAGAGAUGAGUUCCCGUUCGAAACCUUGAUACUUCGAGAGAGAUUGUCCGUUUUGUACACGAAGUGCAUCCAGUUUUUGUCGUAACCCUCUCAACUUUUUAGCACAUGCUAUGUGGGUGAAAUGAUGAUACCAUGCCAACUUUCAACAUUUUCAGAGUUCAUUUGUAGUGCUUUUCAAUUUCAGGGUCAACUAGCUCAAACAAAUAAAGUAAAUGCACGAAAAAUACCAAAUGAAGUCAGAAAUUCUUGAAAAUUUUUGAUGUGCCUUUUAAUGGUGUAUUUUGAACACACAAAAAGUAUGGAGUUCAAAUAUGUUACAAAAUGAAAUCCCUUUGUAACACAUGAGUUCUCGUUCGUAACCCUCAUACUUCGAGAGAGAUUGUCCGUUUUGUACACGAAGUGCAUCCAGUUUUUGUUGUAACCCUCUCAACUUUUUAGCACUUGCUAUGUGGGUGAAAUGAUGAUACCAUGCCAACUUUUCAAUAUUUUCAGAGUUUAUUUGUAGUGCUUUUCAAUUUCAGGGUCAACUUGCUCAAAAACAUAAAGUAAAUGCACGAAAAAUACCAAAUGAAGUCAGAAAUUUUUGAAAAUUUGUGAUGUUCCUUUGAAUGAUGUAUUUUUAACACACAAAAAGUAUGGAGUUCAAAUAAGUUCAAAAAAAUGAAAUCACUUCGUAAUAGAUGAGUUCUCGUUCGAAACCCUGAUAAUUCGAGAGAGAUUGUCCGUUUUGUACACGAAGUGCAUCCAAAUAGAAGAGAAAAAAUGAAAGUAAAGAUAUUCACAAAUUUUAAAGAAUUUAAAUGUUUGUGUGUUAACAUUCUCUCUUUUUGUGUGUUCCAAAGUUUAGAGGGUUACGAUAAAAACUGGAUUCACUUUGUGUACAAAAACUUAAUUUCCAAGAAUUCAAAUUUUAAUAUUUAGUUUUUUCUCUUUUUGUACACUAAAGGCCUUGGGUGGUGGCAUUCCAAAGUUGAGAGGGUUAAGACAAAAACUGAAUGCACUUCAAAUUUUAAUAUUAACCCUCUUUUAUGUUAAAUAUUAAAUAUUAAAUAGCUGUAAGUAGAAUUUAUAGUAAGUUGAGAGGGUUACGCUAAAUUUUAAUAUAUAGCUGUUACAAAGAAUCUAUAGCNNNNNNNNNNNNNNNNNNNNNNNNNNNNNNNNNNNNNNNNNNNNNNNNNNNNNNNNNNNNNNNNNNNNNNNNNNNNNNNNNNNNNNNNNNNNNNNNNNNNGGAAUACUUUGUGUGUAUCAAACGUCGCAACGUAACUGGGUGACUAUAAAGAUGCUCUACAGGUAUCUCCAAAGGUGUUCGUUGAGUUAGUAUGGAUCAAGACUGGGAUUUGUCACUCCGUGUGACGGAGAGGUAUCUCGGGGCCCACUCGGUAAUACAACAUCACACACAAGCCUUGCAAGCAAUGUGACUUAGUGUAAGUUGCGGGAUCUUGUAUUACGGAACGAGUAAAGAGACUUGCCGGUAAACGAGAUUGAAAUAGGUAUACGGAUACUGACGAUCGAAUCUCGGGCAAGUAACAUACCGAAGGACAAAGGGAAUGACAUACGGGAUUAUAUGAAUCCUUGGCACUGAGGUUCAAACGAUAAGAUCUUCGUAGAAUAUGUAGGAUCCAAUAUGGGCAUAGGUCCCGCUAUUGGAUAUUGACCGAGGAGUCUCUCAGGUCAUGUCUACAUAGUUCUCGAACCCGCAGGGUCUGCACACUUAAGGUUCGACGUUGUUUUAUGCGUAUUUGAGUUAUAUGGUUGGUUACCGAAUGUUGUUCGGAGUCCCGGAUGAGAUCACGGACGUCACGAGGGUUUCCGGAAUGGUCCGGAAACGAAGAUUGAUAUAUAGGAUGACCUCAUUUGAUUACCGGAAGGUUUUCGGAGUUACCGGGAAUGACGAAUGGGUUCCGGGAGUUCACCGGGGGGGGGGGCAACCCACCCCGGGGAAGCCCAUAGGCAUUGGGGGUGGCACACCAGCCCUUAGUGGGCUGGUGUGACAGCCCAAAAGAGCCCUAUGCGCCAUAGAAAGAAAAUCAAAGAGAAAAAAAGAGGAGGUGGGAAAAGGGGGAAGGACUCCUCCUUCCAAACCUAGUUGGACUCGGUUUGGAAGGGGAGGGCUCCCCCCCUUGGCUCGGCCGAAGCCCUUAGGGGUCCUUGGACCCCAAGGCAAGGCUCCCCCUCUUCCCCCUAUAUAUACAGAGGUUUUAGGGCUGAUUUGACACAACUUUGCCACGGCAGCCCGACCACAUAUCUCCACGGUUUUACCUCUAGAUCGCGUUUCUGCGGAGCUCGGGCGGAGCCCUGCCGAGGCGAGAUCAUCACCAACCUCCGGAGCGCCGUCACGCUGCCGGAGAACUCUUCUACCUAUCCGUCUCUCUUGCUGGAUCAAGAAGGCCGAGAUCAUCGUCGAGCUGUACGUGUGCUGAACGCGGAGGUACCGUCCGUUCGGCACUAGAUCGUGGGACUGAUCGCGGGACGGUUCGCAGGGCGGAUCGAGGGACGUGAGGACGUUCUACUACAUCAACCGCGUUCACAACGCUUCUGCUGUACGGUCUACAAGGGUACGUAGAUCUCACAUCCCCUCUCGUAGAUGGACAUCACCAUGAUAGGUCUUCGUGUGCGUAGGAAUUUUUUUGUUUCCAAUGCGACGUUCCCCAACAAUAGUGAGGCGCAUAAAUUAGCAAGGAUGGCUACAACCCUAGGUUUAGGGCGUCAUCUUUGGCUCCAGCGUCCUCCUGACAACUUAUGUAUUCCCCAAGACAUUAUGUGUUGAAUAAAGUGGGUUGUCAAUAAAAAAAAGACUAAAAAGGAUGAGAAAACAAGGAUUCAAUGUUUGGAACCAACGACCACUCGUUAUGAUCGAGGUGCUCUAACCACUAGGCCAUUGCCCUUCUAGCGUGCUAACUUAGAGCCUAUUCGGCACGCCUUCACUCCCCACUUUUCAACUUCUAGCCCCAUCUAGACACGGAGCGCGGAGCGUCAUCUUUGCAACUCUGAAAAAAUGGCCAACAAGCCUCUCCGCUCUACUCUGAAAGAGCACAGAGCCAACGCGUUCGGCGCCGCUCCGCAGCUCCUCCAGCCGCUCUAGGAGCGGAGACCUGCCGAACAGGCACUUAUUUUGCUCCCUCGCUUUAUUUUUCCUUUGGUUCACAAAAGCCGGCUUUUCCCAGUUCCUGGUUCAGUUUACGGAUAGUUUUACUCUUUUUUCUAUUUUUCCAUUCAUUUUUAUAGAUGCGUGAUUUUCUAAAGGAAUUCUGUGUUUUAUUUAAUUGCUGAACGUUUUUCAGAUUUGAUGAAUGAUUUUUCAAAUUCAUUGGUUUUUUAUAAAAUUGAUGAACUUUUUUCAGAUUACAUGAACUUUUUAAAUUCAAUUAACAUUUUUUUAGUUCAAUUUUUUUUAAAACCGAAGACCUUUUUAAAAUAAUCGAUGAAAAUCUUUUAAAAAUAUUAAUGAUCUUUUUCCGAAUUUGAUGUACUUUUCAAAAUUUGAUGAUUUUUUUAAAAAAACAAUGAACUUUUUCCAAAUUUGAUGAACUUUUUUCGAAAUUUAAUAAACAUUUUUUUAAAUCAAUGUAAUUUUUAAAAAUCAAUGAACUUUUUUUGGAUUUGAUGAACUUUUUUAUAUUUUUAUCAACCUUUUUUAAAAUCAAAUAACUUUUUUAAACUAGUUGAACUUUUUUCAAAGUUGUGAACAAUUUGAAAUUUACAUACAUAUUUUUGAAUUCAUAGAUUAUCUGCUUUUUCCAUUUUUUAUUUGAAAGUCAAUAAUGAUUGGUCAACAGUUGACUGAUCAACCGACUAGUCAGCAGCGAGACGAAACACAUGCAUGUUGGACCGGCCCAAUAGUGCGCCUCGUGAGCGCCGCGGCCCCUAGUUUGACUAGGAGCUCCCGAAGUGUAGAUCUUUCAAAGAUUAUAUAUUUUAAAGCCUGAUUCGUAGAUGUAUAUUUUCAUCAAUUAAGUAUAAUAUGUACAUACUAACAUACUCCCUCCAUUUCAUAAUGCGUCCGUGUGUUCUCGAAAUCUAAGUUUGACCAUCGAUUUAACCAACAAGACCGAUUACGGCGGGAACAAAAAUUAUACCACUGAAUUUGUAUUGACAAACGAAUUCAGUGGUAUAAUUUUUGUUCCCGCCGUAGUCGGUCUCGGUGGUUGAAGUGAUGAUCAAACAUGGAUUUCUGAAAGCACGGAGCACACUGCAUUAUGGAACGGAAGAAGUACAAGGAGAAGAUAGUAUGCGACUAGCCAACGCCAUUUUUCUAACACGAAUAUAAUGCUAGAGAGAAUUUAACCAAGAGUGGAUUAUAUCAAAGUAUCAAGAAUGUCUAAGAACUUUGUCUUGGUUCUAUGCUUGACUAGCAAAAGGUCUUGUUUGAGCUUAUAUUUCCAAGAUCUCAUGUUUUGGUUCAUUACUGAAGAUGGUUCCGUCUUUCAAAGAAUUUUGCCUCAAAAAAAAUGUUUCAAGGAAUUAGCGGUUUUGUUACUUUUUUAGGUACCCGAAAAGAUUUCUCGUAUCAGUCACGUUUCUAUUUCAUUUCUUUUUUCUUCAUGUCGGACCUUUUUCUUUCUUCCUUUAUACUAGAUCUUGCCGGAAACGACAACUCCAUCAUCUACCUUAGAGGAAAGACAUGGCCGCAUUAUGUAUCUUAUUAAGGGAAAGACAUGGCUCAGUCGUCUAUCUUAGGGUUUGAGGGUGUAGGGGAUCAUUGUAGUUGUUUUUUUUGUGUGACGGGGCUUAGAGAGAUGGGGUCGGGGCGGCAACUAGCACGAGGUGGGAAUAGAGUAGAGGGGAGAGCAGACAGCAAGGCGGCACCGGACACCGGACCGGGGUGAGGGUGGGGGUAGAGGCAGCCGGUUAGGCCUGGUUUGACCAGCAACUACGCGAGGUAGAAGAUUAACAAUGUCCGGUCUGUUUUGAGACGUUGAAUGAAGACCGGAUGACCCUCUGAAAAUUUCGUUCAAAUACUCAUCAACCUGAAGGGCUGACCACCCCUUUAGGAUGGUAAGACCGGGCGGAGACGAUUUCAGUGUUUUGACCCUUUUUAUAUACUUUAGCCCGAUAUGUCACUGUUUGCGAUUUUUUUUUGGAUUUGAUCUUUUUUUCUAUCGUCACCCGUUGUGACGGUAGGCAAACACAUCCUACGGUCAGAAAUAAUGACGGUAGGAUCGUUUGACUCCGGUGACCCAAAGAAACCAUCCGUAUUAACCCGACUCCUAUCGUAACUGUCUUUAACGAUAGGAUGUGUAUGUCUAACGUCACAACAGAUGGCGAUAGGAAAGAAAGAGUCAGACCCAAAAAAAACAUAAACAUGUCGGAUCGGGCUAAAGUUAGCGAAAAGGAUCAAAACAGUUAAUUUGUCCACCAGGCAGCCCUGAAUGAAAGUGAUUAAUGUAACUUAUUUUUCCAGUUAACUCAUACAUAGGCGGUCCCAGGAAUUUAAAAACAAUGCAAGUAGUGGCACAGAGAAGUUGGUACACCAGCCUUGGGCGGUUCUUCAUUUCUACGGUCACAAAGCAGUGAGUGGUGUUCCGGGAAUCCGGGACAAACACGUACAUCAGCAAGUGCGUAGGAGGUAGCCCUUGAUGGAAGGAAAAUACGCUUCCGCCUAUGUUGAUGGACGUAUGCUUCCGCCGUCCCGAUCGAUCAAUGCAAGCAUGUCCUCCCUAUUCUAUGCAUAAGAAACAUCAGAUUAUACUUUUUCUCUAUCUAAAUACUCCAUCCGUUUAUAAAUAUAAGUUUUUUUUAAAAGAUUUUAUUAAAUGUUUACAUACAAGCAAAAUGAAUGGAUCUAUAUUUUUAAAUAUAUUUAUAUACAUCCGUAUUUAGUCUAUUAGUAAAACAUCUACUACCUCCGUUCCAAAAUAUAAGACCUUUUAGGGAUUUCACUAGAAGACUACAUACGGAGUAAAAUGAGUGAAUCUAUACUCUAAAAUAUGUCUAUGUACAUCCGUAUGUACUUUAUAGUACAAUCUCUAAAAGAUCUUAUAUUUAGGAACGGAGGGAGUAGAAAAACUUGUAUUUAGAAAGGGAGGGAGUACAUGUUAUUGAAAACACUAAUGCAAAUACUCCAACUACAACUAUUAUGAUACACCAGAGUAGUAUGAAACAAAUCGACACAACCUAAACCAUGUCCUGUCUCGACGAAACUAAUUAGAGCAUGCAAAAAGGUUUUUUCCUGCUUUGUAUUACAAAGCAACUAGCCGAAACAUCCAUCGAUAAGUGAUGGGACGGAAACAACACAGUCAGUCCAAAAGAAUUGAAAAAAUAAUACAAAAGAAACAAAUGCAAACACCGACGGAUCGACAAAAACGAAGAAGCCGCGCGACCGUUGCGUCCACUAGGGAUUUUCCACCAAGCUCCACGAUUCUAAAGCAUCGGUGCUAAUCAACACCUCUAAGAAGGAACACGACGAUUGCGAUGCUCCUGCUAAGGGUUUUCUCCGGUACGCGGCGAGGCGCGACGAAGGGUAGCCCCCGACGCCCUCCACGAAGGUUCGGCGACACCCCGUCGUGUUGGCCGGGCCGACAGGGGUUUCCCCCGAUACCAACCUGCACCUCGGGCGCUCCGGAGCCUUCCACCAAACCAACCUUCACCCUACGUCAUCACGGUCUUGAAGCCCCUACGCCGUCUCACCACGACAUCGCAAGGUGAGGCCAACACAACGACGAAAAGGAGUCGGGACUAGGAACAGCAGCACCAUUGACACGCGGGAGGGCUCAACCUCCACCGUCAAUGGCGGUAGCCGAUCGGACACAAUAACUGGAGCAUACCACACCCGUGGGCCCACAAACCCGACCAUGACCUCAAAGCUCAUAAGAAUCCCACCAUUGCGCUGCAACAGGCACGUCGUCAACGUCUCUGCCCCCCGUGCAAGUUGCUCCUCCUCCUCACCACGCAGAAGACAUCGAAGUCACGCCGGGUGUCGGCCCGCUAGGACCCAGAUGGGGCCCACAAGGCCCAGAUCUGGGUCAGGGGUGCCAUCGGCCACCCCGCGCCACCAUGCCGCCCCGCCACCCCGCCGCCAAGGAGCAACGCCGCCACAUCACCCAUCGCCGGCCACCGCCGACGGGUCAUCGGAUGGCCGCCUAGCCGAGUGAUACAUCUCCAUCGUAUCUACUUUUCCAAACUCUUUUGCCCUUGUUUUAGACUCUAAUUUGCAUGAUUUGAAUGGAACUAACCCGGACUGACGUUGUUUUCAGCAGAAUUGCAAUGGUGUUGUUUUUGUGCAGAAAUGAAAGUUCUCGGAACGUCCUGAAAACUUACGGAGAAUAUUUCUGGAAAAUAUGAAAAAUACGUGCGCAAAGAUCCACCGGAGGGGAUGGGCCAGUGGGCCACAAGCCCUGUUGCCGCGCCCCCUGGCCGCGGCAACCAAGCUUGUGGGGCCCACGUGGCUCUGCCACCCCCAAACUCAGCUCUAUAAAUUCACUUUCGUCCCGAAAAAAUUAGAAGAGAAGAUUUCAUCGUGUUUGCGAUACGGAGGCGCCGCCACAUCAUGUUCUUCAUCUGGAGGGCAGAUCUGGAGUCCGUUUUGGGCUCCGGAGUGGGGAAAUCGUCGCCAUCGUCAUCAUCAACCUUCUUCCCUCUCCAAUUCCAUGAAGCUCUUCAUCGUUCUUGAGUAAUCUAUUCGUAGGCUCGCUGGGCGGUGAUGAGUAGGAUGAGAUCUAUCAUGUAAUCGAGUUAGUUUUGAUGGGGAUUGAUCCCUAGUAUCCACUAUGUUCUGAGAUUGAUGUUGCUACUACUUUGCCAUGCUUAAUGCUUGUCACUAAGGCCCGAGUGCCAUGAUUUCAGAUCUGAAAUUAUUAUGUUGUCACAAAUAUAUGUGUGUUUUAGAUCCGAUCUUGCAAGUUGUAGUUACGUACUAUGUGUUAUGACCCGGCAACCCCGGAGUGACAAUAACCGGAACCACUCCCAGUGAUGACCAUAGUUUGAGGAGUUCAUGUGUUCACCAAGUGCUAAUGCGUUGUUCCGGUUCUUUAUUAAAAGGAAAACCUUAAUAUCUUGUAGUAUCCUCUUGGACCCCGCUGCCACGGGAGGGAUGGAGAAUAGAUGCCAUGCAAAUUCUUUUCCCUAAGCACGUAUGACGACACACGGAAUGCAUGCCUACAUCACAUUGAAGAAUGGGAGCUAGCCAGAUAUCUCUCCGUGUUAUAACUGUUGCACGAUGAAUGUCAUCCAAACGAAUCACCGACCCAUUGCCUACGAGUUUGUCCACUGCUAUUACUUGUUUUGCUCUGCUGCUGUUACUACUGUUGCUGCUGCUAUUACUUGCUCUGCUCUGCUGCUACUUGCUACUGCUGUUACUUGCUACUGUUGCUACUUGCUACUGCUGUCACUACUGUUGUUCCUUGCCAUUGUUGUUACUCGUUACACUGCUGCUACCUGCUACAAUACGUUUUCUCUCAAUGUUGACGGGAAAGAAUAUUUCCCGUCCACGGGCAACUUCUGGCGCCAUUGAUACGACAGUUAGGAAUAGUCUGCCUUGUCAACAGAUCGUUUCUAACAUCGUUGUUAUCAUACUACUUUGCUGCUGAUACUUUGCUUGCAGAUACUAAUCUUUCAGGUGUGGUUGAAUCUGACACAUUCAGGUGCUAAUACUUGAGAAUAUUCUUUCACUUCCCGUUGGGCGAACCAACAAAUUUGGGUUGAAUACUCUACUCUCGAAAACUGCCGCGAACCCAUGCGCUGGUGGGCCAUUGCAAGACAAUUGCUAAUUGUGGAGCAACUGGGAGCAGUUCUGGAUGUGUUGCGGCGGAGGCAUCAAGUCAGGAACAUGUCAACAUCACUUUUCUAGUGUCGUUGCCGGGGACUGCUAGCACCACUUUUCUGGCGCCUUUGCCGGGGAGCGGAUUGCUAUAUUCUCUGAGUCACUUGGGAUUUAUAUCUGCUGAUCACUAUGAAGAAUUUGAAAGAUCCAAAAACCAAAGUCUUGCCCUCAACUACGAGGGAAGGUAAGGAACUGCCAUCUAGCUCUGCACUUGAUUCACCUUCAGUUAUGAGUAAGUUUGCGACAUCACCUCCUGCUAGAAAUCUUGAUAUGUCGCCUGUGCUUGAUGAUGAUUAUGAUGCUACUGCUAGAGAUGCUAUGCCUGAUGAUGCUAGAGAUGCUAUUUUUCAUGAUGAUGCUAUGCUUGAUAUUGCUAGAGAUACUAUGCCUGAUACUGCUAGAGAUACUAUGCCUGAUACUGCUAGAGAUGCUAUGCCUGAUGAUGCUAGAGAUGCUAUUUUGCCUGAUGAUGCUAUGCUUGAUACUACUAGAGAUACUACUUUGCCUGAUAUGCCACUAGGGGUAUUCCUUGAUGCUCAUAUUGCUAGAGUUAUUGCCAAUGCUCGUGAUGCUUCUGAAACUGCCGAUACUAUUGAGAUAGAACCUGCUUUUGCUCCUGCUAGAUCUAGCUCUCCUAGAUAUGAAUUGCCAGAUAUACCUGAGGGUUACGUUAUGGAGGGAGAGAUAGCUGAGUAUUUUCUUGCGUGUAAGGAUGCCUAUGACGCUGAGAAAUUACUUCUCAAGUGGAAGGAAAAAUCUCUGAAAGCUAGGAUGAAAUAUGACCCGAAGUUUGCCACUUCACCUAUCUUUAUCACUGAUAAGGAUUAUGAAUUCUCUGUCGAUCCUGAGAUAAUCUCUCUAUUCGAAUCUGAUCCUUUCCACGUUCUGCGUCUGAGACGGUCGUAGCCCAUCUUACCAAACUACACGAUAUAGCCACCCUUUUCACUAGUGAGGAGAAGAUCCGCUACUACUAUAUCCUUAAGCUGUUUCCUUUCUCUCUAAAGGAUGACGCUAAAGCCUGGUUCACUUCUCUUGCUCCUGGAUGUGUGAGUAGUCCCCAGGAUAUGGUCUAUUACUUCUGUGAGAAAUAUUUCCCUGCCCAUAAGAAGCAAGCUGCCUUGCAGGAAAUAUACAAUUUUGCUCAACUCAAAGAAGAGAGUCUUCCACAAGCUUGGGGGAGGCUCGUCCAGCUGCAAAAUGCUUUGCCUGAUCACCCUCUUAAGAAGAACGAGAUACUUGAUAUCUUCUAUAACGGACUUACCGAUGCCUCUAGAGACCACCUAGAUAGUUGUGCCGGUUGUGUUUUUAGGGAACGAACUGUAGAACAAGCUGAGACUCUACUGAAUAACAUCUUGAUCAACGAUAAUGCUUGGACUAUUCCCGAACCACCUCCUAAGCCAACUCCGAAGAAAAGAGGUAUUCUAUUCCUUAGUCCCGAAGAUAUGCAAGAAGCCAAGAAAUCUAUGCAAGAGAAAGGCAUUAGAUCUGAAGAUGUCAAAAAUCUACCACCUAUCGAAGAGAUACAUGGUCUCGAUAACCCGAUACAGGUAGUAGAAGUAAAUUCUCUGCGUAGGUUUGAUGAGAGUGAUAUUCAUUUUGACAAACCUGUUAGCUUAUGCUUUGAUGAAUUUGACAACUUUGUUGCCAAACAACAGAGUUUCAAUGAUUAUGUUAGCAGACAUUUGAAACAAAGUACUCGUAUGCUUAGUCAUUUAAGUGCUUGUGUAGACAGAAAUGUCAAUGAUCUGAAGCUUCUGAGUAAACAUGCCUCUAUGAUUACUACUCAGGUAGAACAAGUACUUAAAGGUCAAAAUGACUUGCUCAAUGAAUUAAAUGACAACUCUGUCAAAGUCGUUACUAGAGGAGGCAAAAUGACUCAGGAACCUUUGUAUCGUGAAGGCCAUCCUAAGAGAAUGAAUCAAGAUUCUCAAGGAAUUAAUGCUGAUACACCGAGUCAUCCUAAAGAGAAGAAGAAGGAUGAUAGAAACCUACAUGUUAGCUCACCAAAUACUGUCACACCUCAAGAACCAAAUGAUAUUUCUGCGUCUCAUGCAGAAACACAAUCUGGUGAUGAACAUGAACCUGGUGACAAUAUGGACAGCGAUGUUCAUAAUGAUGCUCAACCUAGCAAUGAUAAGGAUGUGGAGAUUGAACUUACGGUUAAUCCUGAUAACCCACAACCUAAGAAAUACGAUAAGAAUGACUUCACUGCUAGGAAGCAUGGUAAAGAAAGGGAUCCAUGGGUUCAGAGACCUAUGCCCUUUCCUCCUAAGCCAUCCAAGAAAAAGGAUGAUGAGGAUUUUGAGCGCUUUAUUGAAAUGAUAAGACCCGUCUUUCUGCAGAUGCGGUUAGUUGAUAUGCUCAAAAUGUCUCCAUAUGCCAAGUACAUGAAAGAUAUCGUGACCAAUAAAUGGAAGAUACCAGAUCUUGAGAUCUCCACCAUGCUUGCCAAUUACACUUUCAAAGGUGGAACUCCUAAGGAACUUGGUGAUCCCGGAGUGCCCACUAUACCUUGCUCCAUUAAAGGAAACUACGUAAGAACUGCCUUAUGUGACCUUGGAGCCGGUGUUAGUGUUAUCCCGCUCUCUUUUUAUCGUAGACUUGAACUAGAUAAGUUGACACCCACUGAAAUCUCUGUGCAAAUGGCCGACAAAUCAACUGCUUUCCCUGUCGGCAUUUGCGAGGAUGUGCCUGUUGUGGUUGCUAACACCACUAUCUGAACAAACUUUGUUAUCUUGGAUAUUCCCGAGGACGAUGCCAUGGCUGUCAUCCUCGGAAGACCCUUUUUAAACACUGCAGGGGCUGUUAUAGAUUGCAACAAAGGCAAUGUCACUUUCCAUAUCAACGGUAAUGAGCAUACCGUGCACUUUUCGAAGAAACGAUAUCAAGUACAUUGCAUCAAUGCUAUCGAAAAAACUUCAUCGAUUCUUAUUGGGAGUUUUCCCGUGUAAAUAGUUUUCUUUUCCUUUGGGUCAAGGUAGAAGAUAUUGGUUACAAUGUUUAGU